GUUUUUUGGAGGGGCUCACUUCAGCAGGACAUCAACUAACACUGAAAUCACGCAGAGAAAAUUAGUAUGGCCCCAGCACAAGGGUGACACACAAAUUUGUGAAGCAGUCCAUACUAAA
Cavia aperea (Brazilian guinea pig) is the source of this 118-nucleotide small nuclear RNA. Lineage: Eukaryota; Metazoa; Chordata; Mammalia; Rodentia; Caviidae. The record is from Ensembl.